AUGCUUCUGGAUGAUUGCUUUCUUGCAGCACAAGAGCAUCUGACAACCAUGCAGAUCAUCCUUGGGAACACUGUAGGAGUGUCAGCUCUUACUGGUGAGAUCCCAGGAGAUAUCAAAGUGACUCGUGGUAGCAUUGAAGCUGACCCUGCAAUGAAAACUGUCCCUGCCCUGAGCAUGAUCAAGCCUACAGUGAGAGCAGAGGUACUGGAGAAAGGGACAUCUUUAGGAGGGUUAAAUGCCAAGAAAGUUUCUUUCACAAGAAAAAUUGGUUUGCUAUUUUCUAGAGAAAGCAUGGUGUAAAUUAAGUCUCUGAAGGAAAAUUAUCACUGGAGUUCCUUAAAGAGGAAUGUUGUUCCUCUAAUGGAAGAACCCUCUGUCCUUAAAGAAUCCAUAUUACAAGCUUAAUGGGACAUGGAGAACAGAGUGCUGAUCUCCCACUGGGUUCACUAUUGGUUUUUGUCUUUGCAUUUCAUCUGAACCCUCUACUGGAUUACACCUGGCACUGGCCUUCUACCUGGUGCACAGCAGGAACCAGCAGCUGCACCUACUGGGGCAUUCACUUCUGAAAGACCCAGGAUUGUUAAAAUACUUAGUACAUUACUAUUAAUCACUGCAAAAUGAAGUGUAUCCAUAAAACUCCCUUCUUCCAUCUUGUAUGCAUCAGCAUUACAUAUAUCUAUAUUUACUGACUGUGCAGUGAUUUUUACUGUUUUUAACCCCUACAGAUACAACACAUCCAUAGCUGAAUGAAGCAUUCAUCCUCAUUUUGCUGAUUACAGGUGAAAAAAUCUUCAUAGUUUAGAUUAUCCAGAACUCUUCCUACCACUGAUUCACACAAAACUUUCUCUUGUUAUGUACAACCCCAGCAGUAUGUCUUACACACUUAUUGAUUGCCAAACAUCAAAUUCUGAGAGAAUAACCUAGUGAACUUUUUUUCCCCCACCUAUCACUAAUCUUUUCUGGGUAGAUUCAGUAAAAACAGUAUUAUUUUUUUCUUCACAUGUAAAAUAUUUAUCUUACAAUAACUGAUAGCUGCAAGCUUGAAAGCCUCACAAGCUUGAGUUAUCUAAUUACUUUCUUGCAAAACAUCACUAAGUUUCUGUUCCAUCAGCAUAUAUUGAUACACCAUGGCUGAUAACACCCACAAGCCUGCAGAGCAUACUCCGCUGUAUAACCUUAAUGCUGCAAAUCAUUAUAAAAUUCCUUUGUUUGCUAUGUAAAAAGCUGCAAAUAUCAAACUUUUUGACUUAGCAUAGAGAGAAGACAGGAUGGAGUACUGCUGUUAUCCAAAACCACAAAU
RNAcentral lists this long non-coding RNA (1300 nucleotides) under Anser cygnoides (Swan goose). RNAcentral's name for it is "lncRNA (ENSACDG00005015643.1)". The record is from RNAcentral. Lineage: Eukaryota; Metazoa; Chordata; Aves; Anseriformes; Anatidae.